GCAGUAGCCGCGGGAAUACGAAGGGGGCUAGCGUUGCUCGGAAUGACUGGGCGUAAAGGGCGCGUAGGCGGCGGCCAAAGUCAGGCGUGAAAUUCCCGGGCUCAACCUGGGGGCUGCGUUUGAUACUUGGUUGCUUGAGUGGGGAAGAGGGUCGUGGAAUUCCCAGUGUAGAGGUGAAAUUCGUAGAUAUUGGGAAGAACACCGGUGGCGAAGGCGGCGACCUGGUCCUUGACUGACGCUGAGGCGCGAAAGCGUGGGGAGCAAACAGGAUUAGAGACCCCUGUAGUCCCUGUCUCUUAUAC
Molecule: ribosomal RNA, 302 nt
Filed under: uncultured bacterium
Lineage: Bacteria
Description: partial 16S ribosomal RNA
Rfam family: Bacterial small subunit ribosomal RNA
Source: RNAcentral